This 465-nucleotide ribosomal RNA is filed under the name Vreelandella stevensii. RNAcentral's name for it is "partial 16S ribosomal RNA". It matches the Rfam family "Bacterial small subunit ribosomal RNA", at positions 338 to 795 of the family's 1533-position model. Lineage: Bacteria; Pseudomonadati; Pseudomonadota; Gammaproteobacteria; Oceanospirillales; Halomonadaceae. The record is from RNAcentral.
CCUACGGGGGGCUGCAGUGGGGAAUAUUGGACAAUGGGCGAAAGCCUGAUCCAGCCAUGCCGCGUGUGUGAAGAAGGCCUUCGGGUUGUAAAGCACUUUCAGUGGGGAAGAAAGCCUUGGGGCUAAUACCCUCGAGGAAGGACAUCACCCACAGAAGAAGCACCGGCUAACUCCGUGCCAGCAGCCGCGGUAAUACGGAGGGUGCGAGCGUUAAUCGGAAUUACUGGGCGUAAAGCGCGCGUAGGCGGUCUGAUAAGCCGGUUGUGAAAGCCCCGGGCUCAACCUGGGAACGGCAUCCGGAACUGUCAGGCUAGAGUGCAGGAGAGGAAGGUAGAAUUCCCGGUGUAGCGGUGAAAUGCGUAGAGAUCGGGAGGAAUACCAGUGGCGAAGGCGGCCUUCUGGACUGACACUGACGCUGAGGUGCGAAAGCGUGGGUAGCAAACAGGAUUAGAUACCCCAGUAGUC